AUACCUACCCCACGAUCAUAUCUAUUGGACUACGAUAAUGUGCGUGUAACGACCUCCGGUACCAGUUUCUUUAACCAAUGUUUCCCUAGUAGCUCAAUCGAUCUGGCAUUGGCUUUUAAUACUACACAUUUCCUAUCAAAACCACUUCCACUGUCAGACCAUAUGUAUCGAUUCUUUUCGGAAAAUAAGGAAGAAAAGGAAGCCGUUUCAAAGCAAGCAGCUGGCGAUUGGUUGGUGUUCCUCAAACACAGAGCAAAAGAAUUAAAACAAGGUGGCUGGGGAGUGUUCUCAACGCUAACAGAGACGGGCGCUACACCAGACAAGCCUGCAAUGAUGGGUGCCCAUGAUAUAUUUGCUAUUAUGGAUGAAAUUUGGAAAUGUUUUGUUUUAAAGGGCCUAAUAACUAAGGAAGAAUACAGUCGGUGCACGUUUGCUGCAUGUUUUAGAAACGCACUUGAGUUACAGGAACCGUUUAGCUCUGAAGAAUUAAGUGAGACAGGUUUGAGACUUGAUGACGUUAAUUUUGCUAAAAUCCCAGGCUUUUUUACUACGGAAUGGAGAGAACGUUUAAAACAAGGCAAUGAUGACAGAGCAACGUUUGCUAGAGAUAUCACUAAAAGCACAAGGCCCUACUCUUACAGUUCAUUUCAUCGUUCAUUGAACGAGGACAGAAGUUCCGAGGAGAAAUCUCAGAUUUGUGAUCUAUUGUACAACGAGAUGGAGAACUAUUUUCUAUCGAAGCACCCUGAGGAUUUCAUGACAGAUUAUUUAACAAACACAGUUUAUGUUUAUAAAGAAUAGAUAAUAGAA
This is a long non-coding RNA of Patella vulgata (common limpet), 810 nucleotides long. RefSeq lists it as uncharacterized. NCBI's taxonomy places the organism in Eukaryota, Metazoa, Mollusca, Gastropoda, Patellidae. The transcript has 5 exons. The record is from RefSeq and is a predicted model, not a curated record.